Molecule: ribosomal RNA, 425 nt
Filed under: uncultured bacterium
Lineage: Bacteria
Description: partial 16S ribosomal RNA
Rfam family: Bacterial small subunit ribosomal RNA
Source: RNAcentral
GUGAGGAAUAUUGGUCAAUGGGCGGGAGCCUGAUCCAGCCAUGCCGCGUGAGUGAUGAAGGCCCUAGGGUUGUAAAGCUCUUUCACCGAUGAAGAUAAUGACGGUAGUCGGAGAAGAAGCCCCGGCUAACUUCGUGCCAGCAGCCGCGGUAAUACGAAGGGGGCUAGCGUUGUUCGGAAUUACUGGGCGUAAAGCGCACGUAGGCGGAUAUUUAAGUCAGGGGUGAAAUCCCAGAGCUCAACUCUGGAACUGCCUUUGAUACUGGGUAUCUCGAGUAUGGAAGAGGUGAGUGGAAUUCCGAGUGUAGAGGUGAAAUUCGUAGAUAUUCGGAGGAACACCAGUGGCGAAGGCGGCUCACUGGUCCAUUACUGACGCUGAGGUGCGAAAGCGUGGGGAGCAAACAGGAUUAGAAACCCCAGUAGUCC